CACUGCUCCAAGUACGCUGCUCUCUGAAGCAACCUUUCUCUUUCCCCUGGGAGAAAAAAGCCUCCAAGCAGGGUGUAGGAGAGGGCAGAGGGAAUGGCUGCCGAGGGCCCUAGGCCAGCCUUAUUUCUGUGCAGCGGGUUGAAUGGUGUCUCCCAUUCAUGUCCACCUGGAAACUCAGAAUGUGACCUUUUUUGGAAACAGGGUCUUUGCAAAUAUCAUUCAGCUUAGAAAGAGGAAGUUCGUGGGUUGCAAAGUGAGUAAUGGCUGCAUCUGGGAGCUGAUCAAAGGUGGCCAGCCAAGUUGAGUAGCCAGUUCGGUGUAUGAGACUUAACAACACUGUUUCCCCGGCCAUGGAAGGAGUCUUGAGCAGAGUGUGAGAAUGGCCAGGUGGCGGAAGUGUCUGAGAAGAUCCUGCAUCGAUCCAGAAGCAGUGGGAUAAGGAAGGAGCACUGGAUGGAAGUCAGGUGUCCUGGGGCCCAGCGCUGGCCCUGCCACACAUGGUGUGGAAGCAGAACCCUGCUGCCCGUGUCUGGGUGGGCGAGAGACUGGGGAAACACGGCCAGGAAGCAGCCCGGCAGAUGGGGGCUGAGCGCACUGGCAGGGGCAGGAGGAGCUGCAGAUCUUUUCUCAGUUGAGCUUCAGAUGAGACCACAGCCCCAGCCAGCUUCUUAAGUGCAGCCUCAUAAGAAACCGUAAGCAGAGAACCAAGAUAAACCAUGCCUGAACUCCUGAUCCACAGAAACUGUGAAAUAGAUCUGCCUGGAACCUGCCGGCCCCCUGCAGCUGGCUUCUUAAAUGCCUGCAGCUGGUGCAAGCCUCUCACUCCAAGAUGUUUCCACCCCAGACACAUCCCAGAGCCCCCUGCAUCUCCUGGGAGGACGAGGAUGGAUGGAAGCGUGCUGCCAACGCUGGGACACCUGCUUGCUUUCUGGGCAGUGGCCAGGAAAUCGCAUCUGCUGCCAGAAGAGAGCACCUGCACAUCCCGGAGAAGGGAAGGGGACAGAGCCGUGUGAUUCUAGCAGAGGAACACCCAUAGGAUUCCUUCUGUUGUUCCCAAGGUCCAGGCUCCCAGGCUGAGUAGGCAGGAAGGAGAAUGUGUCUUCACACAGGAAGCCUCACUGCCCAGAACAUGGGACAGAUCUAGCUGGAGCUGUGCUCAAACAGCUGUGGAGGCAUUAUAAAUCUCUCUCCCCGAGAUGAGGUUCAGAGGCUCUUGACAUGCCCUGCUAAUGGUAAAUCUUCCAGUGCCCACAGAGCAAGCCCUGGACUCUUAGAGCAUCAAGGUGAGACUGCCUGCCCCCCUUAAGCCUGUUAAUGGCAUCAGUGAUGUAUUCCCCUCCAAAUGUGGAAGGCUGCCUCUUUCUUCAUUGGAAGCAUCAAGGGAGUUUUAACUGUAAAACAGACUGUGCUUCAAAUCCCAUCUAAAUGCCUCAUCCUGAAGCUCUGACCUGCCACUUUUCUGCAAAUGACACUGGGUGAUUUGAAUGGGAUUAGAUUGGACAGUGGCCCCUGGCUGUUGUUUAAGUUUGUGUGGGUUUUGUUGUUUGUUUGUUUUAAUGCAACCUGUCUUUAAAUCUUCACUUUCAAAAAAAAAAAAAAGUGGUCAUUAGCCUUAUUUUUUAUUUAGAGGAUGUGAAGUCAGAAGUUCCCUUCCCUGAUUUAUUACCUCAUAGGUUUAUGACUUUGAAGAAUCAUUUCAUCUCUUUUAGUUUCCUCAUCUGUAGAAAGGUGAUUGUAAACUCUUUCUUAUCGGCUGGAUACAAAGAUGAAAUGAGAUAUCCU
This 1782-nucleotide long non-coding RNA is filed under the name Homo sapiens (human). Its description in RNAcentral is "HSALNT0195527". Lineage: Eukaryota; Metazoa; Chordata; Mammalia; Primates; Hominidae. The record is from RNAcentral.